RNAcentral lists this ribosomal RNA (176 nucleotides) under Otidea concinna. RNAcentral describes it as "5.8S ribosomal RNA". The stretch from base 37 to 176 matches the Rfam family "5.8S ribosomal RNA". Rfam says of the family: 5.8S ribosomal RNA (5.8S rRNA) is a component of the large subunit of the eukaryotic ribosome. It is transcribed by RNA polymerase I as part of the 45S precursor that also contains 18S and 28S rRNA. Functionally, it is thought that 5.8S rRNA may be involved in ribosome translocation. The record is from RNAcentral. Lineage: Eukaryota; Fungi; Ascomycota; Pezizomycetes; Pezizales; Pyronemataceae.
ACCUUCUGUCUGAAUUAUAUCAAUAACAUUUGUUAAAACUUUCAACAACGGAUCUCUUGGUUCUCGCAUCGAUGAAGAACGCAGCGAAAUGCGAUAAGUAGUGUGAAUUGCAGAAUUCAGUGAAUCAUCGAAUCUUUGACGCACAUUGCGCCCCAUGGUAUCCCGUGGGGCAUGCC